CCUACGGGCGGCAGCAGUGAGGAAUAUUGGUCAAUGGACGAGAGUCUGAACCAGCCAAGUAGCGUGAAGGAUGACUGCCCUAUGGGUUGUAAACUUCUUUUAUAUGGGAAUAAAACGUUCCACGUGUGGGAUUUUGUAUGUACCAUAUGAAUAAGGAUCGGCUAACUCCGUGCCAGCAGCCGCGGUAAUACGGAGGAUCCGAGCGUUAUCCGGAUUUAUUGGGUUUAAAGGGAGCGUAGGUGGAUUGUUAAGUCAGUUGUGAAAGUUUGCGGCUCAACCGUAAAAUUGCAGUUGAAACUGGCAGUCUUGAGUACAGUAGAGGUGGGCGGAAUUCGUGGUGUAGCGGUGAAAUGCUUAGAUAUCACGAAGAACUCCGAUUGCGAAGGCAGUUCACUGGACUGCAACUGACACUGAGGCUCGAAAGUGUGGGUAUCAAACAGGAUUAGAGACCCCAGUAGUC
This 460-nucleotide ribosomal RNA is filed under the name uncultured bacterium. RNAcentral describes it as "partial 16S ribosomal RNA". It matches the Rfam family "Bacterial small subunit ribosomal RNA", at positions 338 to 795 of the family's 1533-position model. The record is from RNAcentral.